Long non-coding RNA from Lagenorhynchus albirostris (white-beaked dolphin), 858 nucleotides. RefSeq lists it as uncharacterized. The record is from RefSeq and is a predicted model, not a curated record. The transcript has 3 exons. Lineage: Eukaryota; Metazoa; Chordata; Mammalia; Artiodactyla; Delphinidae.
UUUUACUCUGGGGUCAGUAAGGGAGAAAGAAAUGAGGUGGAUUUCAGAGGACCUCCUUCAACCAUUGGAAAGAAGGAAAAAGUACACCUCUGUAACCAUGCCACAUCUAUCCUAACAGAUUCCAGGAACACUGACUCUCUACUCGUGUGCAUCUAAUCCAUCUGUGGACCCCAGUUCCUGUUACCAAAAGUGGGGGGAUGUGUCAAGAAGUGUAUAGGUGUGCCAUACAAAAUGCAAUUGCCACAGAAGAGGCAGCUGGUUCCUACCUCUGGGUGAGGUACAGGAUCACUGAGAAAACUCCAUUCCUGAGACCAGAGAGACAGGGUCUGGCUGAACCUGAGGCUGAAGCAGGAAUACAGAAAGCUCUUCCAGCCUCUCACUGCCCUCCCCACCCCCCGGCAAGCACCAAAUAACAAGUACCAGAAGGAGAGAGAAAAUGAGACAGAAGAAAUAUUUGAAGAGAUAGUGGUCAAGAAUUUUCUGAAAAUGUUGAAAUGUAUCAAACCACAGUUGCACAAAGCUCAAGAGAAUGCCAAGAAGGAUUUAAAAAACAAACAAACAAAAACUAGACACACUAUAUUCAAACUGCUGAAAGGCCAAAGUUACAGAGAAAAUCUUGUAGACAAAGGGGGAAAAAAAGUGUUAUAUACAAACCUGUGCAAGCCAAACAACAGUGGAGUGAUGUCUUUAAAGUGCGAGAAGAAAAAAAUCUGAUGACUCUGAAUUCUAUGCCCAACAAGACUAUCUUUUAAAGAUGAAGGAAAACUGCUUUUUCAGCCAAAAACUGGGAAAAUGCAAUAGCAUAUCUAUGCUACAGAAAAAUGUUAAAGGAAGUUCUUUUUUUUUUAAUAAAUUUAU